Molecule: ribosomal RNA, 429 nt
Filed under: Bacteroidota bacterium
Lineage: Bacteria; Pseudomonadati; Bacteroidota
Description: Bacteroidetes bacterium partial 16S ribosomal RNA
Rfam family: Bacterial small subunit ribosomal RNA
Source: RNAcentral
UAGGGAAUCUUCCGCAAUGGACGCAAGUCUGACGGAGCAACGCCGCGUGAGUGAAGAAGGAUUUCGGUUCGUAAAACUCUGUUGUUAGAGAAGAACAGCGCAUAGAGUAACUGUUAUGCGUGUGACGGUAUCUAACCAGAAAGCCACGGCUAACUACGUGCCAGCAGCCGCGGUAAUACGUAGGUGGCAAGCGUUGUCCGGAUUUAUUGGGCGUAAAGCGAGCGCAGGCGGUCAAUUAAGUCUGAUGUGAAAGCCCCCGGCUCAACCGGGGAGGGUCGUUGGAAACUGGUUGACUUGAGUGCAGAAGAGGAGAGUGGAAUUCGAUGUGUAGCGGUGAAGUGCGUAGAUAUAUGGAGGAACACCGGUGGCGAAAGCGGCUCUCUGGUCUGUAACUGACGCUGAGGCUCGAAAGCGUGGGGAGCGAACAGG